GGCCCCGCACAAGCGGUGGAGCAUGUGGUUUAAUUCGAUGCAACGCGAAGAACCUUACCAGGCCUUGACAUCCUCGGAACUUUCUAGAGAUAGAUUGGUGCCUUCGGGAACCGAGUGACAGGUGCUGCAUGGCUGUCGUCAGCUCGUGUCGUGAGAUGUUGGGUUAAGUCCCGUAACGAGCGCAACCCUUGUCCUUAGUUGCCAGCACUUCGGGUGGGAACUCUAAGGAGACUGCCGGUGACAAACCGGAGGAAGGUGGGACGACGUCAAGUCAUCAUGGCCCUUACGGCCUGGCUACACACGUGCUACAAUGGCAAGUACAGACGGCUGCAAACCCGCGAGGGAGGCAACA
RNAcentral lists this ribosomal RNA (352 nucleotides) under uncultured bacterium. RNAcentral describes it as "bacterial SSU rRNA". It matches the Rfam family "Bacterial small subunit ribosomal RNA", at positions 917 to 1272 of the family's 1533-position model. The record is from RNAcentral.